CAAUAGCGUAUAUUUAAGUUGCUGCAGUUAAAAAGCUCGUAGUUGGAUUUCGGGUGGGAAUGGCCGGUCCGCCGUUUCGGUGUGCACUUGCUACGCCCACCUUGCUGCCGGGGACGUGCUCUUGAGUUCACGCUCGGGACACGGAGUCGGCGAGGUUACUUUGAGUAAAUUAGAGUGUUCAAAGCAGGCCUACGCUCUGAAUACAUUAGCAUGGAAUAACACGAUAGGACUCUGGCCUAUCUUGUUGGUCUGUAGGACCGGAGUAAUGAUUAAGAGGGACAGUCGGGGGCAUUCGUAUUUCAUUGUCAGAGGUGAAAUUCUUGGAUUUAUGAAAGACGAACUACUGCGAAGGCAUUUGCCAAGGAUGUUUUCAUUAA
This 377-nucleotide ribosomal RNA is filed under the name uncultured eukaryote. RNAcentral describes it as "partial 18S ribosomal RNA". It matches the Rfam family "Eukaryotic small subunit ribosomal RNA", at positions 592 to 976 of the family's 1831-position model. The record is from RNAcentral.